RNAcentral lists this ribosomal RNA (526 nucleotides) under Heterogamus fasciatipennis. RNAcentral's name for it is "eukaryotic LSU rRNA". It matches the Rfam family "Eukaryotic large subunit ribosomal RNA", at positions 386 to 724 of the family's 3401-position model. Lineage: Eukaryota; Metazoa; Arthropoda; Insecta; Hymenoptera; Braconidae. The record is from RNAcentral.
CCUGAGAAACCCAAAAGAUCGAAUGGGGAGAUUCAUCGUCAGCUCAUUUUGUAUAUGUACAAGUUAUGAUGCGGGUUACUACUUGUAGUAUUGCCUGCACAUUCUUAUAUAUUUAGUUGCAAGAUGUUGUCGGCGUGCACUUCUCCCCUAGUAGGACGUCGCGACCCGUUGGGUGUCGGUCUACGGCCCAAGUGAUAGCCUUUAAUGUAAUUUAAAAAACAUUGAAGAUCCUUGGUGUUUUCUGACCGGCUACUUGGCGGUACUCGUACGGUAUUUAGCCGCAUAAAUAUAUGCGUCCAUGCCCGUCGCAAGCGAGGCCUACUGAUAGUACGGACCUAGUGCCGUCGUUGGUAUUGGCCAGCUGUUGGUUGUACGGUGUUCUAGGACUGGCUAAAAUUAAUUACCGGUCGGCGAUGCUACUGCUUUGGGUACUUUCAGGACCCGUCUUGAAACACGGACCAAGGAGUCUAACAUGUGCGCAAGUCAUUGGGAUUUUUUUAAAAUUAAACCUAAAGGCGUAAUGAAA